CUACGGGAGGCAGCAGUGGGGAAUUUUGGACAAUGGGCGCAAGCCUGAUCCAGCCAUUCCGCGUGAGUGAAGAAGGCCUUCGGGUUGUAAAGCUCUUUCGCAAGGGAAGAAAACUUAUCCUCUAACAUAGGGUGAGGUUGACGGUACCUUGAUAAGAAGCACCGGCUAACUACGUGCCAGCAGCCGCGGUAAUACGUAGGGUGCGAGCGUUAAUCGGAAUUACUGGGCGUAAAGCGUGCGCAGGCUGUUUUGUAAGUCAGAUGUGAAAUCCCCGAGCUCAACUUGGGAACUGCGUUUGAAACUGCAAGACUAGAAUAUGUCAGAGGGGGGUAGAAUUCCAUGUGUAGCAGUGAAAUGCGUAGAGAUGUGGAGGAAUACCAAUGGCGAAGGCAGCCCCCUGGGAUAAUAUUGACGCUCAUGCACGAAAGCGUGGGGAGCAAACAGGAUUAGAUACCCCGGUAGUC
This 464-nucleotide ribosomal RNA is filed under the name uncultured bacterium. Its description in RNAcentral is "partial 16S ribosomal RNA". It matches the Rfam family "Bacterial small subunit ribosomal RNA", at positions 339 to 795 of the family's 1533-position model. The record is from RNAcentral.